RNAcentral lists this long non-coding RNA (2286 nucleotides) under Spirodela polyrhiza (greater duckweed). RNAcentral's name for it is "long non-coding RNA (SPOL_LNC001147)". Lineage: Eukaryota; Viridiplantae; Streptophyta; Magnoliopsida; Alismatales; Araceae. The record is from RNAcentral.
GCUCAUUGAUUAUAUCAAUAACGACUUCGACAUCAGUGUGUACUGGAACACCUUGGAGUCCAAUGGCAUCAACAAGGAGCGCUUGCUGAGCUAUGACAGAGCCAUCCACUCGGAGCCGAGCUUCAGGCACGAUCAGAAGGAGGGCCUUCUGCGCGAUCUAGGACACUACAUGAGAACUCUCAAGGUAUGGCAGUCGCAUUCAUUGAUAAUAUUAUAUGAACGAUAAUACUCAGAAACAUGAGCCAUGCUGAUAAAAUAAAAUUAAAUAAAUAAAUUCUAUGCCAGGCAGUUCAUUCAGGAGCGGAUCUUGAGUCCUCCAUUGCAACUUGCAUGGGCUACAAGGCCGAGGUGAUGAUGAUGAUGGCUCUGUUCAGACCCUCUGUGUUUUUUUCUUUUUGUUAAAAAAAAAAAAUUGUCCGCUGAUGUUGGAGUUUCAUCCAGGGUCAAGGUUUCAUGGUCGGGGUCCAAGUAAAUCCUAUUGGAGGCUUGCCAUCAGGAUUUUCUGUAACUAUAUCUAACUUGAGAAUUCUUUUUGAACACUAGUACAAUUUCUCUGCGUUUCAAUUACUAAAAAUGGCUAGAAUUAUAUAAAAAUAUUUAUUGAACCCUUUUGGUAGGAUAUCCUUCGAUUCAUACUGGAGCAUGUUGAGGACAGGAAUGCGGAGCCUCUGCUGGAGGUGAGUGUGGUCAUGAUGGUUCAUGGCUAUGGCUUUUUGUUGCCGGUUUAGCCUAAUUUUUGAUGAUGCAGGGUUUGCUGGAGGCGAGAGCCGAGCUCCGGCCGCUUCUUCUCAAGUCCAACGACCGAUUGAAGGAUCUUCUGUUCUUGGAUCUCGCCCUGGACUCUACGGUCAGGACGGCCAUUGAGAGGGGAUAUGAGGAGCUGAGUAAUGCUAAAACAGAGGUAUUUAAUUCAUGUGAUUUAUCUCUCGUCAUGGGUGUUCAAUUGAUUGGAAAAUUGGAGGAACUGAGCCCAGUUCAUCCAUUUGUGCCGCAGAAAAUCAUGUACUACAUCACAUUAGCCGUGGAAAAUCUUGCCCUCUCAUCGGACAACAAUGAGGAUCUCAUUUACUGCUUGAAGGUAAUACCUAUGCCCACGAAAUGGAUAUUCUUCUGACUAGCUGACAUGCAAAAAAGCUACGUAACGUUCUACAUAGGAUGCAUAGUCUCAUAUUCUCUACACAUAUCUGCAUAAAUAGAGGGAGGGAGGGAGGGAGGGAGAGAGAGAGAGAGAGAGAGAGAGAGAGAGAGAGAGAGAGAGAGAGAGAGAGAUUUAUUCCCAUCUGAAUUCAUGAUUCUCAACUUCUAUAAAGGAUUUACACUCCCAUCUGAAUUGAGUCUGGCCAUGUCUUAUUAUUUAUUCCUUAGUUCAGAAAAUUGCGGCAUUUUCUUCACUAAAAUUAGAUGGGUCUGUAAGAAAAUGCUGUAAUGGCGAACAUAUAGUGUUUGUUCAUCAAAUUUUUUUUUUCAUAUUGCUAUUUCAAUCUUAUAAUGCAUGUUUUGGACGAAUAAAAUCUCUGGUCAGAUGGAAGGUGAAGGUUUUCCACCACAGACCAGAGAGUACGGGUAUUUUUUUGUUUCUUUGUAAUGACAGAAACCCUCUCUAGUUUCUCUUGAGAUGAUUCCUCUAAUUUUGGUAUGGUAUGCUUUUAUCAAUGCCUGUUCUAACAUUGUUGAUGCAAUUCAAGGGAUGGAAUCAUGCACUGGAGAUGUUAAAAAACAACACUGAUGAAUGGGCACUAUAUGCGAAAUCAUUUCUAGAUAGGACACGACUUGCUCUAGCAAACAAGGCCGAGCACUACCAGCAUAUUCUACAACCUACUGCAGAGUACCUCGGUUCCCUGCUCGGCGUCGAGGAGUGGGCUGUAUGCUCUUUCUAUUUUAAUUAUUCUCAUAAUUAGGCUCAUACCUGUCAUGAAACUUGCAGUCACACGGUUGCUCAAAUUUCAGGUGAAUAUAUUCACUGAAGAAAUUAUUCGCGCUGGAACGGCCGCUUCAUUGUCCACGCUGCUAAACCGGCUUGAUCCUGUUCUUCGGAAAGUGGCUCACCUGGGCAGGUUCAUAAAGACAUACAUCUCAAGUUUUUUCACCCCUAACACCCUCAUCUGCAGGUUAUUGAAAUAGGGGCGAUGGCACUGACCUGCUCUUAUCUGGCUGCCGCAGCUGGCAGGUCAUAAGCCCUGUGGAGGUCACCGGAUAUGUUGCUGUGGUGAAUGAGCUUCUGGCAGUCCAGAACAAGUCUUAUGAUCGACCCACUAUCCUGGUGGCAAAGAGCGUGAAGGGCGAGGA